AUGAACGCUGGCGGCGUGCCUAAUACAUGCAAGUCGAGCGAACGGACGAGAAGCUUGCUUCUCUGAUGUUAGCGGCGGACGGGUGAGUAACACGUGGAUAACCUACCUAUAAGACUGGGAUAACUUCGGGAAACCGGAGCUAAUACCGGAUAAUAUUUUGAACCGCAUGGUUCAAAAGUGAAAGACGGUCUUGCUGUCACUUAUAGAUGGAUCCGCGCUGCAUUAGCUAGUUGGUAAGGUAACGGCUACCAAGGCAACGAUGCAUAGCCGACCUGAAAGGGUGAUCGGCCACACUGGAACUGAGACACGGUCCAGACUCCUACAGGAGGCAGCAGUAGGGAAUCUUCCGCAAUGGGCGAAAGCCUGACGGAGCAACGCCGCGUGAGUGAUGAAGGUCUUCGGAUCGUAAAACUCUGUUAUUAGGGAAGAACAUAUGUGUAAGUAACUGUGCACAUCUUGACGGUACCUAAUCAGAAAGCCACGGCUAACUACGUG
Molecule: ribosomal RNA, 495 nt
Filed under: uncultured bacterium
Lineage: Bacteria
Description: partial 16S ribosomal RNA
Rfam family: Bacterial small subunit ribosomal RNA
Source: RNAcentral